RNAcentral lists this ribosomal RNA (564 nucleotides) under Pleosporales sp. MSW. RNAcentral's name for it is "eukaryotic LSU rRNA". The stretch from base 208 to 361 matches the Rfam family "5.8S ribosomal RNA". Lineage: Eukaryota; Fungi; Ascomycota; Dothideomycetes; Pleosporales. The record is from RNAcentral.
UCUUGGUCAUUUAGAGGAAGUAAAAGUCGUAACAAGGUUUCCGUAGGUGAACCUGCGGAAGGAUCAUUACCUGAAUAUGGGCUUCGGCCCUCAUUCUACCCUUGUGUAUCUUACCUUUGUUGUUCCCUCGGCGGGUCUCCCGCCGAUGGGUACCCACAAACCCUUUUGCAUUUAGCAUCAAAAUUCUGAUAAAACAUAAAUAAUCACAACUUUCAACAAUGGAUCUCUUGGUUCUGGCAUCGAUGAAGAACGCAGCGAAAUGCGAUAAGUAGUGUGAAUUGCAGAAUUCAGUGAAUCAUCGAAUCUUUGAACGCACAUUGCGCCCCUCGGUAUUCCGUGGGGCAUGCCUGUUCGAGCGUCAUUUACACCCUCAAGCUCUGCUUGGUGUUGGGCGUCUGUCCCGCUUCGUGCGUGGACUCGCCCCAAAGUCAUUGGCGGCGAUCGUGCCAGCUUCUCGCGCAGCAUACGCGCUCCGGAGGCAAGUCGAUCAGCAUCCACAAAGUACUUUCCACAGUUUGACCUCGGAUCAGGUAGGGAUACCCGCUGAACUUAAGCAUAUCAAUA